AGCAUAUCACAGCAUAGAAGCUGGGCACCAAGUGUGAACAUCAAAGAAGAGAUCAACUGUUGGGAGCUUACAUACUCUCUCCUAAGGGGAAGGGGAAUGGGAUUACAGGCAACUUUUGAGGAAUAGCAAAUCAUUUUUCGGAGAGUGAAUUAUAUUAUGGGCUUGGAGAAACAUACGGGGGGCCCCCCGGGGCAGACUGCAUUGAGCAUCAGAACAGAAAUGGCUCUCUUUGGAAUAUUGAAUGGGACCAAAAUAGAAGACAAUUGGUGUGUGACAGGCGUCCAUCCAGGUGAGCCGACAGACUUCAGCCUUUCUUCCUGGGACACGGGUUUAGUUGACAAAGCACAGAGGUGAUCGUCUUCUUCCCUGAUAGCUGGACUUUGAGCAGAGAAGGAGAUCUCAACGUGAAACCUCUUCCAUUAUCUGCUGUUUUCCUUAUGGCUUUGUUUUGUUUUGUUUGUUUUCGUUUCGUAGUGCUGGUGAUCAAACCCACAGCCUCCCGUGUCAUACUACAC
This 515-nucleotide long non-coding RNA is filed under the name Marmota monax (woodchuck). The record is from RNAcentral. Lineage: Eukaryota; Metazoa; Chordata; Mammalia; Rodentia; Sciuridae.